AACGAACGCUGGCGGCAGGCCUAACACAUGCAAGUCGAGCGAACCCUUCGGGGUUAGCGGCGGACGGGUUAGUAACGCGUGGGAAUAUACCCUUUGGUACGGAAUAGCCUCGGGAAACUGAGAGUAAUACCGUAUGUGCCCUUCGGGGGAAAGAUUUAUCGCCAAAGGAUUAGCCCGCGUUGGAUUAGAUAGUUGGUGGGGUAAUGGCCUACCAAGUCUACGAUCCAUAGCUGGUUUGAGAGGAUGAUCAGCAACACUGGGACUGAGACACGGCCCAGACUCCUACGGGAGGCAGCAGUGGGGAAUCUUAGACAAUGGGCGCAAGCCUGAUCUAGCCAUGCCGCGUGGACGACGAAGGCCUUAGGGUUGUAAAGUCCUUUCAGAUGGGAAGAUAAUGACGGUACCAUCAGAAGAAGCCCCGGCUAACUCCGUGCCAGCAGCCGCGGUA
This 448-nucleotide ribosomal RNA is filed under the name uncultured bacterium. RNAcentral describes it as "bacterial SSU rRNA". It matches the Rfam family "Bacterial small subunit ribosomal RNA", at positions 29 to 522 of the family's 1533-position model. The record is from RNAcentral.